This 217-nucleotide long non-coding RNA is filed under the name Theobroma cacao (cacao). RNAcentral's name for it is "long non-coding RNA (TCAC_LNC000822)". The record is from RNAcentral. Lineage: Eukaryota; Viridiplantae; Streptophyta; Magnoliopsida; Malvales; Malvaceae.
CUUACUGUCAAGAAUGAUUGCACGCUGCGAUAGAGAUUAGAGGAAGUAGAAGAACGGUGGCCACUAUUUGGCGUGACGUCAACGACGGCAAGAGGUGCUGGUCUGGCGAUGACAUGCAAGGGAGAUGCCAAUUAAGGGAGUUAUGGUUUAACGAAGGGGCAGGGAAAUCUGAAUUGGUGGAAUCUAUCAGGGGAAAGGUUAGGGGGAAAAAGUUGGG